RNAcentral lists this ribosomal RNA (497 nucleotides) under uncultured bacterium. Its description in RNAcentral is "partial 16S ribosomal RNA". It matches the Rfam family "Bacterial small subunit ribosomal RNA", at positions 28 to 507 of the family's 1533-position model. The record is from RNAcentral.
GAUGAACGCUGGCGGCGUGCCUAAUACAUGCAAGUCGAGCGAACAGAUAAGGAGCUUGCUCCUUUGACGUUAGCGGCGGACGGGUGAGUAACACGUGGGUAACCUACCUAUAAGACUGGGAUAACUUCGGGAAACCGGAGCUAAUACCGGAUAACAUUUGGAACCGCAUGGUUCUAAAGUGAAAGAUGGUUUUGCUAUCACUUAUAGAUGGACCCGCGCCGUAUUAGCUAGUUGGUAAGGUAACGGCUUACCAAGGCAACGAUACGUAGCCGACCUGAGAGGGUGAUCGGCCACACUGGAACUGAGACACGGUCCAGACUCCUACGGGAGGCAGCAGUAGGGAAUCUUCCGCAAUGGGCGAAAGCCUGACGGAGCAACGCCGCGUGAGUGAUGAAGGGUUUCGGCUCGUAAAACUCUGUUAUUAGGGAAGAACAAACGUGUAAGUAACUGUGCACGUCUUGACGGUACCUAAUCAGAAAGUCACGGCUAACUACGUG